This 492-nucleotide ribosomal RNA is filed under the name uncultured bacterium. RNAcentral describes it as "partial 16S ribosomal RNA". It matches the Rfam family "Bacterial small subunit ribosomal RNA", at positions 29 to 507 of the family's 1533-position model. The record is from RNAcentral.
AGUGAACGCUGGCGGUAGGCCUAACACAUGCAAGUCGAACGGCAGCACAGUAAGAGCUUGCUCUUACGGGUGGCGAGUGGCGGACGGGUGAGGAAUACAUCGGAAUCUACUUUUUCGUGGGGGAUAACGUAGGGAAACUUACGCUAAUACCGCAUACGACCUACGGGUGAAAGCAGGGGAUCUUCGGACCUUGCGCGAUUGAAUGAGCCGAUGUCGGAUUAGCUAGUUGGCGGGGUAAAGGCCCACCAAGGCGACGAUCCGUAGCUGGUCUGAGAGGAUGAUCAGCCACACUGGAACUGAGACACGGUCCAGACUCCUACGGGAGGCAGCAGUGGGGAAUAUUGUACAAUGGGCGCAAGCCUGAUCCAGCCAUACCGCGUGGGUGAAGAAGGCCUUCGGGUUGUAAAGCCCUUUUGUUGGGAAAGAACAGCAGCAGGUUAAUACCCCGCUGUUCUGACGGUACCCAAAGAAUAAGCACCGGCUAACUUCGUG